This 497-nucleotide ribosomal RNA is filed under the name uncultured bacterium. RNAcentral's name for it is "partial 16S ribosomal RNA". It matches the Rfam family "Bacterial small subunit ribosomal RNA", at positions 28 to 507 of the family's 1533-position model. The record is from RNAcentral.
GAUGAACGCUGGCGGCGUGCCUAAUACAUGCAAGUCGAGCGAACGGACGAGAAGCUUGCUUUUCUGAUGUUAGCGGCGGACGGGUGAGUAACACGUUGAUAACCUACCUAUAAGACUGGGAUAACUUCGGGAAACCGGAGCUAAUACCGGAUAAUAUUUUGAACCGCAUGGUUCAAAAGUGAAAGACGGUCUUGCUGUCACUUAUAGAUGGAUCCGCGCUGCAUUAGCUAGUUGGUAAGGUAACGGCUUACCAAGGCAACGAUGCAUAGCCGACCUGAGAGGGGGAUCGGCCACACUGGAACUGAGACACGGUCCAGACUCCUACGGGAGGCAGCAGUAGGGAAUCUUCCGCAAUGGGCGAAAGCCUGACGGAGCAACGCCGCGUGAGUGAUGAAGGUCUUCGGAUCGUAAAACUCUGUUAUUAGGGAAGAACAUAUGUGUAAGUAACUGUGCACAUCUUGACGGUACCUAAUCAGAAAGCCACGGCUAACUACGUG